GACUUGAAUGACUUAGAUUAUUGCACUUCACUUGGUGGAAUUAAUAUUAGGAUGCUAUGGUUUGUUCUCACUUGGAUUACAAACCUUAACAUCCUAAUAUUAAUUCCACCAAGUGAAGUGCAAUAAUCUAAGUCAUUCAAGUC
RNAcentral lists this microRNA precursor (143 nucleotides) under Paramuricea clavata. Lineage: Eukaryota; Metazoa; Cnidaria; Anthozoa; Malacalcyonacea; Plexauridae. The record is from RNAcentral.